AGACAGCGCUAUCGCGCUUCCUCAGCCCGAACGGCAUCGAAGUAACGGCUGGGUAAAUCAAGAUUCUUAUCCAUAACUCACG
This 82-nucleotide non-coding RNA is filed under the name Legionella shakespearei DSM 23087. Its description in RNAcentral is "Legionella RNA 69". It matches the Rfam family "Legionella RNA 69". The record is from Rfam by way of RNAcentral. Lineage: Bacteria; Pseudomonadati; Pseudomonadota; Gammaproteobacteria; Legionellales; Legionellaceae.